GACGAACGCUGGCGGCGUGCUUAACACAUGCAAGUCGAACGGAAAGGCCCUGCUUUUGUGGGGUGCUCGAGUGGCGAACGGGUGAGUAACACGUGAGUAACCUGCCCUUGACUUUGGGAUAACUUCAGGAAACUGGGGCUAAUACCGGAUAGGAGCUCCUGCUGCAUGGUGGGGGUUGGAAAGUUUCGGCGGUUGGGGAUGGACUCGCGGCUUAUCAGCUUGUUGGUGGGGUAGUGGCUUACCAAGGCUUUGACGGGUAGCCGGCCUGAGAGGGUGACCGGCCCCAUGGGGACUGAGAUACGGCCGAGACUCCUACGGGAGGCAGCAGUGGGGAAUAUUGCACAAUGGGCGGAAGCCUGAUGCAGCAACGCCGCGUGCGGGAUGACGGCCUUCGGGUUGUAAACCGCUUUCGCCUGUGACGAAGCGUGAGUGACGGUAAUGGGUAAAGAAGCACCGGCUAACUACGUG
RNAcentral lists this ribosomal RNA (468 nucleotides) under uncultured bacterium. RNAcentral's name for it is "partial 16S ribosomal RNA". It matches the Rfam family "Bacterial small subunit ribosomal RNA", at positions 28 to 507 of the family's 1533-position model. The record is from RNAcentral.